UACGUAGGGUCCGAGCGUUGUCCGGAGUGACUGGGCGUAAAGCGCGCGCAGGCGGCCUGCGAGGUGUCCUGUGAAAGCCCCGUGCUCAACGCGGGAGGGUCAGGGCAACCGGCAGCUUGAGGCCGGUAGAGGUGGGUGGAACUCCUGGUGGAGUGGUGAAAUGCGUAGAGAUCAGGAAGAACACCCGUGGCGAAGGCGGCCCACUGGGCCGGACCUGACGCUGAGGCGCGAAGGCGUGGGGAGCGAACGGG
Molecule: ribosomal RNA, 251 nt
Filed under: uncultured bacterium
Lineage: Bacteria
Description: partial 16S ribosomal RNA
Rfam family: Bacterial small subunit ribosomal RNA
Source: RNAcentral